GGUUGGUCCAAUGGUAGUGAGUUAUCAGAACUUAUUAACAUUAGUGUUACUUAAGUUGGUAUUCAGUUCCCCACGGCUAAAUUUGACUGUCUUUAA
Molecule: Y RNA, 96 nt
Filed under: Microcebus murinus (gray mouse lemur)
Lineage: Eukaryota; Metazoa; Chordata; Mammalia; Primates; Cheirogaleidae
Description: Y RNA (ENSMICG00000047588.1)
Rfam family: Y RNA
About the family: Y RNAs are components of the Ro ribonucleoprotein particle (Ro RNP), in association with Ro60 and La proteins. The Y RNAs and Ro60 and La proteins are well conserved, but the function of the Ro RNP is not known.
Source: Rfam by way of RNAcentral